This is a long non-coding RNA of Corvus hawaiiensis (hawaiian crow), 742 nucleotides long. RefSeq lists it as uncharacterized. NCBI's taxonomy places the organism in Eukaryota, Metazoa, Chordata, Aves, Passeriformes, Corvidae. The record is from RefSeq and is a predicted model, not a curated record. The transcript has 4 exons.
UUGUCUCUGUCCCGACCAAGACUUCUCUAACUCUAGAAUCUCACAAAUAGCAACUUCCCCUCCUGAUACAGAUCCUCAUGGAAGUCAUAUUGAAGCAUACGGAAGACAGAGAGACUCCAGUGAAGAUUACUAGCUGAUAGUGAUGCCCUGGCUACAGAGCAACCUACUGUCUGUUGCCUGCUGGUGAAGAGACUAUGUUACAGCAGAGAUUGAAGAGUCUUCACUGUAAGGAGAAGAAAUUACUUUGAAGGGGAAGCAACUCAUCCUUACUGUUUUUGUGACUGCAGAAGAAGCAAUCAGAUGAGCCAUGUGGUCAGCUUUAAAGCCUCUGGGAGAUGAAAAUCCCACAUCUGGAGAUCAACGACUUCAGUUGAACAAUUUUGAAUCCAGGAGGAAAAAAAAAGGCCCAGAACUAAAACCAAUCAAAAAAACUCCCACUCCAAAACCAACCAACCAACCAGCCAGAAGAAACAAGAGCAGUCUGCUGUUUAGUAUUGGCAUACAAUGCAGUAUGCCACGAAGACAGUUAUUUAAUAAGAAUUGCAACACACACAUCAUUUGAGGAUUGCUGCAAGUCACCGGGACAGAAGCGGAAGAGGACAUCAGCUUUAUAUUAGUUUAUAAUUCCCUAAUUAGGUGAAACUGAAACAAGUUUCUGUGCCAUUUCAUUCACAUCCCCAAGGAAAUAAUGAACUGUAUCAUGGGUUAGCAAGCACAGUCCCAGAAGGGAUGUCCUUGCUAA